RNAcentral lists this ribosomal RNA (353 nucleotides) under uncultured methanogenic archaeon. Its description in RNAcentral is "bacterial SSU rRNA". It matches the Rfam family "Archaeal small subunit ribosomal RNA", at positions 1029 to 1381 of the family's 1478-position model. Lineage: Archaea; Methanobacteriati; Methanobacteriota. The record is from RNAcentral.
UUAAGUCAGGCAACGAGCGAGACCCACGCCAACAGUUGCCAGCUCGUCCUCCGGGAUGGUGGGGACACUGUUGGGACCGCCUCUGCUAAAGAGGAGGAAGGAAUGGGCAACGGUAGGUCAGCAUGCCCCGAAUUAACUGGGCUACACGCGGGCUACAAUGGGUGGGACAAUGGGUAUCGACACCGAAAGGUGAAGGCAAUCUCCUAAACCCACCCUUAGUUCGGAUUGUGGGUUGCAACUCACCCACAUGAAGCUGGAAUCUGUAGUAAUCGUGUCUCAAAAUGGCACGGUGAAUAUGUCCCUGCUCCUUGCACACACCGCCCGUCAAACCACCCGAGUGAGGUCUUGAUGAG